UAGGGAAUCUUCGGCAAUGGACGAAAGUCUGACCGAGCAACGCCGCGUGAGUGAAGAAGGUUUUCGGAUCGUAAAACUCUGUUGUUAGAGAAGAACAAGGACGUUAGUAACUGAACGUCCCCUGACGGUAUCUAACCAGAAAGCCACGGCUAACUACGUGCCAGCAGCCGCGGUAAUACGUAGGUGGCAAGCGUUGUCCGGAUUUAUUGGGCGUAAAGCGAGCGCAGGCGGUUUCUUAAGUCUGAUGUGAAAGCCCGCGGCUCAACCGGGGAGGGUAAUUGGAAACUGGGAGACUGGAGUGAAGAAGAGGAGAGUGGAAUUCCAUGUGUAGCGGUGAAAUGCGUAGAUAUAUGGAGGAAAACCAGUGGCGAAGGCGGCUCUCUGGUCUGUAACUGACGCUGAGGCUGGAAAGAGUGGGGAGCAAACGGG
RNAcentral lists this ribosomal RNA (429 nucleotides) under Chloroflexota bacterium. RNAcentral describes it as "Chloroflexi bacterium partial 16S ribosomal RNA". It matches the Rfam family "Bacterial small subunit ribosomal RNA", at positions 355 to 776 of the family's 1533-position model. Lineage: Bacteria; Bacillati; Chloroflexota. The record is from RNAcentral.